This 68-nucleotide small nucleolar RNA is filed under the name Phascolarctos cinereus (koala). RNAcentral's name for it is "Small nucleolar RNA SNORD58 (ENSPCIG00000028232.2)". It matches the Rfam family "Small nucleolar RNA SNORD58". From Rfam's summary of the family: snoRNA U58 is found in introns 1, 3 and 6 of the ribosomal protein RPL17 gene in humans. U58 is a member of the C/D class of snoRNA which contain C (UGAUGA) and D (CUGA) box motifs. Most of the members of the box C/D family function in directing site-specific 2'-O-methylation of substrate RNAs. The record is from Rfam by way of RNAcentral. Lineage: Eukaryota; Metazoa; Chordata; Mammalia; Diprotodontia; Phascolarctidae.
CUGCAAUGAUGAUGUUUCUUAGGACACCUUUGGAUUAGCUAUGAAAAUAAAACUCAAUACUGAGCAGC